Molecule: ribosomal RNA, 1621 nt
Filed under: wastewater metagenome
Description: bacterial LSU rRNA
Rfam family: Bacterial large subunit ribosomal RNA
Source: RNAcentral
ACCCCGGGAGGGGAGUGAAAUAGUACCUGAAACCGAUUGCCUACAAUCCGUCGGAGCCUUCCUUUUGGGGGGGUGACGGCGUGCCUUUUGAAGAAUGAGCCUGCGAGUUAGUGGUGUGUGGCGAGGUUAACCCGUGUGGGGGAGCCGUAGCGAAAGCGAGUCCGAACAGGGCGUUGAGUCGCAUGCUCUAGACCCGAAGCGAAGUGAUCUAUCCAUGGCCAGGGUGAAGCGACGGUAAGACGUCGUGGAGGCCCGAACCCACUUGGGUUGAAAACCGAGGGGAUGAGCUGUGGAUAGGGGUGAAAGGCCAAUCAAACUUCGUGAUAGCUGGUUCUCCCCGAAAUGCAUUUAGGUGCAGCGUCGUCUGUUUCUUGCCGGAGGUAGAGCACUGGAUGGUCUAGGGGGCCCACAAGCUUACCGAAAUCAGCCAAACUCCGAAUGCCGGUAAGUGAGAGGACGGCAGUGAGACUGUGGGGGAUAAGCUUCAUAGUCGAGAGGGAAACAGCCCAGAUCACCAGCUAAGGCCCCUAAGGGACUGCUAAGUGGAAAAGGAUGUGGAGUUGCGAUGACAACCAGGAGGUUGGCUUAGAAGCAGCCACCCUUGAAAGAGUGCGUAAUAGCUCACUGGUCAAGUGAUUCCGCGCCGACAAUGUAGCGGGGCUCAAGCAUACCGCCGAAGUUGUGUCAUUCGUACAUCAUCCCGGCCCUUACGGGUCCAGGAGUACGGAUGGGUAGGGGAGCGUCGUGUGGCGAGUGAAGCGGCGGGGUGACCCAGCCGUGGACGCCACACGAGUGAGAAUGCAGGCAUGAGUAGCGAAUGACGGGUGAGAAACCCGUCCGCCGAAUGACCAAGGGUUCCAGGGCCAGGCUAAUCCGCCCUGGGUAAGUCGGGACCUAAGACGAGGCCGACAGGCGUAGUCGAUGGACAACGGGUUGAUAUUCCCGUACCCGUGUAUAAGCGUCCCUGAUGAAUCACCGGUACUAACCACCCAAAACCGGAAUCACCGAUCACCUUCGGGUGUGAGGGUUUCUGGGGCUGCGUGGGACCUUCGGUGGUAGUAGUCAAGCGAUGGGGUGACGCAGGAAGGUAGUCCAACCAAGGCGAUGGUUGACCUGGGGUAAGGGUGUAGGGCGAGACGUAGGCAAAUCCGCGUCUCACAUGCCUGAGACCUGACGCCGAGCCGAUUAAGGCGAAGUGGAUGAUCCUAUGCUGCCAAGAAAAGCCUCUAGCGAGUUCUUAGCCGCCCGUACCCCAAACCGACACAGGUGGUCAGGUAGAGAAUACCAAGGCGAUCGAGUGAACUGUGGUUAAGGAACUCGGCAAAUUACCCCCGUAACUUCGGGAGAAGGGGGGCCCGUCAAGGUGUAGGAACUUGCUUCCGAAGCCUUGAUUGGCCGCAGAGACCAGGCCCAAGCGACUGUUUAUCAAAAACACAGGUCCGUGCGAAGUAGCAAUACGAUGUAUACGGACUGACGCCUGCCCGGUGCUGGAACGUUAAGGGGACGGGUUAGCAACUUCGGUUGCGAAGCUCAGAACUUAAGCGCCAGUAAACGGCGGUGGUAACUAUAACCAUCCUAAGGUAGCGAAAUUCCUUGUCGGGUAAGUUCCGACCUGCACGAA